GGUCGGAACUUCGGUUCCGGCUUACGUGGCGCACGGGUGAGUAACACGUGGGAAUCUGCCCAUCUAUGGGGAAUAACUGCGGGAAACUGCAGCUAAUACCGCAUACGCCCUUCGGGGGAAAGGCUUCGGCCGUAUUAAGAUGAGCCCGCGUCCGAUUAGCCCGUUGGUCCGGUAAUGGCCUACUUAAACGACGAUCGGUAGCUGGUCUGAGAGGAUGAUCAGCCACACUGGGACUGAGACACGGCCCAGACUCCUACGGGAGGCAGCAGUGGGGAAUAUUGGACAAUGGGCGAAAGCCUGAUCCAGCAAUGCCGCGUGAGUGAUGAAGGUCUUCGGAUUGUAAAGCUCUUUCGACGGGGAAGAUAGGGACGGUACCCGUAGAAGAAGCCCCGGC
RNAcentral lists this ribosomal RNA (394 nucleotides) under uncultured Tistrella sp. Its description in RNAcentral is "bacterial SSU rRNA". It matches the Rfam family "Bacterial small subunit ribosomal RNA", at positions 70 to 497 of the family's 1533-position model. Lineage: Bacteria; Pseudomonadati; Pseudomonadota; Alphaproteobacteria; Geminicoccales; Geminicoccaceae. The record is from RNAcentral.